UGGCACUGAUCUUAAAGUUUUUAAAUUACUAUUUAUUCAUCAUUAUGAAAAUGCAUUGCUUUACGAUAUAUUUUUCUCAAAAUUAGGAUCAAGUAUAUGAUUGCAUGUGAUACAUGAAUUUGAUUAAAGAGUAUCCUUCAUGAAUAUUUGAUGAUGUAUGAGUUAUGAAAUUAUGAUUAUGUUAGACUGCAUGAAAAAUGAUAUUUGAAGCAUGAUUAUGCAUUUUAAAUUAUAUAAUGCCAUUUAUCAUUUUCAAACCUAUUUAUGAUGAUUAUGAUUUAUGAAAGAAAAAGAAUAUGAUUUAUGAACUCUCAGAUAGCUAUGACCACCUCUAGAAAUAGAGGCCAGUCGACACCCUGGAGCUAGCAUCCAACGAAUAUGGCCCUCUGCCAACGGGUUAAAGUUGGUAACGAAUAAGAAUAAGUUAUAAAACUUGUCGACUACGAAUACGAACCCUGUCACGGGAUUAUAGUGACCAUAGCAGCACAUCCGUCUGAGAGUAAGAUUUAUAAAGUAUGGAUGAAUGGCAGCAUUUUAUAAGACUUGCAUUAUCAUGUUUAUGAACUUGCAUGGUUGAAGCAUAUUUUGCUUUAUAACCUGUUUUGAAUAAUUUAUCUAUGAAAUGCUUUAUUUUCUGUUAAGUUC
Molecule: long non-coding RNA, 645 nt
Filed under: Phoenix dactylifera (date palm)
Lineage: Eukaryota; Viridiplantae; Streptophyta; Magnoliopsida; Arecales; Arecaceae
Description: long non-coding RNA (PDAC_LNC020056)
Source: RNAcentral